CAGCGCGUAGCGUAGCAGCCAACGCACCCGGCUUGGGACCGGGGGAACGCAGGUGCAACUCCUGCCGCGCUGACCA
This 76-nucleotide transfer RNA is filed under the name Verrucomicrobiales bacterium. Its description in RNAcentral is "tRNA-Pro". It matches the Rfam family "tRNA". From Rfam's summary of the family: Transfer RNA (tRNA) molecules are approximately 80 nucleotides in length. Their secondary structure includes four short double-helical elements and three loops (D, anti-codon, and T loops). RNAcentral also lists the same sequence under 1 other name. Lineage: Bacteria; Pseudomonadati; Verrucomicrobiota; Verrucomicrobiia; Verrucomicrobiales. The record is from RNAcentral.